Molecule: transfer RNA, 87 nt
Filed under: Yersinia pestis Angola
Lineage: Bacteria; Pseudomonadati; Pseudomonadota; Gammaproteobacteria; Enterobacterales; Yersiniaceae
Also listed under: 7 other names
Description: tRNA-Leu
Rfam family: tRNA
About the family: Transfer RNA (tRNA) molecules are approximately 80 nucleotides in length. Their secondary structure includes four short double-helical elements and three loops (D, anti-codon, and T loops).
Source: RNAcentral
UGCCGAAGUGGCGAAAUCGGUAGACGCAGUUGACUCAAAAUCAACCGCCGCGAGGCAUGCCGGUUCGAUUCCGGCCUUCGGCACCAU